RNAcentral lists this ribosomal RNA (429 nucleotides) under Bacteroidota bacterium. Its description in RNAcentral is "Bacteroidetes bacterium partial 16S ribosomal RNA". It matches the Rfam family "Bacterial small subunit ribosomal RNA", at positions 355 to 776 of the family's 1533-position model. Lineage: Bacteria; Pseudomonadati; Bacteroidota. The record is from RNAcentral.
UAGGGAAUCUUCGGCAAUGGGGGGAACCCUGACCGAGCAACGCUGCGUGAGUGAAGAAGGUUUUCGGAUCGUAAAGCUCUGUUGUUAAGGAAGAACGAGUGUGAGAAUGGAAAGUUCAUACUGUGACGGUACUUAACCAGAAAGGGACGGCUAACUACGUGCCAGCAGCCGCGGUAAUACGUAGGUCCCGAGCGUUGUCCGGAUUUAUUGGGCGUAAAGCGAGCGCAGGCGGUUAGAAAAGUCUGAAGUGAAAGUCAGUGGCUCAACCAUAGGAGUCUUUGGAAUCUGUUUAACUUGAGUGCAGAAAGUGAGAGUGGAAUUCCAUGUGUAGCGGUGAAAUGCGUAGAUAUAUGGAGGAACACCGGUGGCGAAAGCGGCUCUCUGGUCUGUAACUGACGCUGAGGCUCGAAAGCGUGGGGAGCGAACAGG